This 218-nucleotide ribosomal RNA is filed under the name uncultured bacterium. Its description in RNAcentral is "partial 16S ribosomal RNA". It matches the Rfam family "Bacterial small subunit ribosomal RNA", at positions 28 to 244 of the family's 1533-position model. The record is from RNAcentral.
GACGAACGCUGGCGGCGUGCUUAACACAUGCAAGUCGAGCGGUAAGGCCCUUUCGGGGUACGACGAGCGGCGAACGGGUGAGUAACACGUGGGUGACCUCGCCCUCAGCUCGUGGGAUAAGCCUGGGAAACCGGGUCUAAUACUGGAUAUGACUCCAUGACGCAUGUUGGUGGGGUGGAAAGCCUUGUGCGGCUGAGGAUGGGCCCGCGGCCUAUCAG